ACUUUAAUCCACUUAGGGGAACCUGUCCUUUAAUUCGAUAACCCACGACAAUCUUAUUUACUUUGGAUUAUCACAGCUUGUAUACCGUCGUCAUAAGUUAACCUUAAAAAGAAAAAAAGUUAACAAUAAAGAUAAAGAUUAAAGCUUUCUCAUAGGUCAGAUCAAGGUGCAGCUAAUAAGUAAAGAGGAGAUGGGUUACAAUUAAUAAUUUAUAAUGGAAUUCUUAAAGAAAAUACGAAGCAAAAUAGGACUUAAAAGUAAUUUAUGAUAACAAACACUAAUGAAUAAGGAAAUAAAGUGUGU
RNAcentral lists this ribosomal RNA (303 nucleotides) under Cellana ornata. RNAcentral describes it as "partial 12S ribosomal RNA". Lineage: Eukaryota; Metazoa; Mollusca; Gastropoda; Nacellidae. The record is from RNAcentral.